CAAUAGCGUAUAUUAAUGUUGUUGCAGUUAAAAAGCUCGUAGUUGGAUUUCUGAUGGGAGCCCUGGUCACUUUAACGAGUGUACUGAUGUGGCGUCCUGUCGUUUCAUGGGGAUGCUUGCUGGUAUUAAGUUAUCGGCUUGUGGAUCCAUGUCGUUUACUGUGAAAAAAUUAGAGUGUUCAAAGCAGGCCAUCGCUGUGAAUACAUUAGCAUGGAAUAAUAAGAUAGGACUGUGGUGCUAUUUUGUUGGUUUGCGUACUACGGUAAUGAUUAAUAGGGAUAGUUGGGGGUAUUCAUAUUCAAUUGUCAGAGGUGAAAUUCUUGGAUUUAUAGAAGAUGAACUACUGCGAAAGCAUUUACCAAGGAUGUUUUCAUUA
This 376-nucleotide ribosomal RNA is filed under the name uncultured eukaryote. RNAcentral describes it as "partial 18S ribosomal RNA". It matches the Rfam family "Eukaryotic small subunit ribosomal RNA", at positions 592 to 975 of the family's 1831-position model. The record is from RNAcentral.